UCCUCCCUCCCUCCUCCCUUCCUCCUCCCUCCCUUUCUCUUUCAUAUGGACAAUUGGUAUUUCCUCAGUUUUAUGUAAUUUUGUGCUGUAGAAAUGGAACUUAAAGCCUCACUUCUACCCCCAGCCAGAUCGGAUUGCACCCCUUAAUUCCUUCUAUACAGAACUUCAACGGACCGACUCCAAGUUUCAACACUUGGACAAUGAAAAUCUAAGACUGAAAAAUUAAAGAUUAAAUCACUCUCCGUUUCUACCCAAGGCCGACUCCUUGCCCCCGUGGCUGGAUCCCGGGUUCUCCACUUCUCCUCUGCAACAGGCUGGGGAUGUGGCUGCUGAGCCAUCCCACGCUGGCAGGCUCCUCUCUCUCCCUGCGGGGGAGGGAACUGCACAAGCCCAGACUCCUGGGACCUAUAGGUCCCGAAACAUGCAGACCGGAAACAUCCGCCCUCUGUUCUCCAAGCUGCUUCAGAUUCAAGGCCUUGAUCUUGGUCAGCUGUUGUGGCCAGUCUGCCUACCUGUUGUUGCUAGGUGCAUUUCUGAAAUCUCCCGAGAGGGAGAACUUAUGCUGACACAGCAUAAUUUGUACUGGGGAGAGAGGAGAAGAGGGUGCAGAAGAGCAAAUUUCCUUCAAUGAGGGAUUUGUUCUGGGGUUAGAAUCUGGAAAGAAGCCUGUUUCUUUUGUAGAAGAUGCUCACCCUCUCUAUCUGUCUCUUUACCUGAAAGCCAGCCUUGGUGAGUACUGUGGAGCUUACAGAUUUGGUUGCUUGACAGGGUUUCUUCAGCUUUUGUACUCCUGUGUCACUUGUCCUGCUUUAAACUCCCUGCUGCUCUUCCCCAGCACCAACCUGUUUUACCAGAGAACUUAGGCCAUCCAGUGUCUGCGUGGAAACCCUUUUCCUGAGCAGCCACUCCUCUCUCCACAGCCACGAUUGCCCUCCAUGUUUCUACUUGAUGUGACCCAUUUUACCAUUUCCUCAAAAUAAAAACAACCACAGAACAAAAAGCCUGAUUUAUUGUUGUGUGUGUGUCGGGGGGAUGGUGUGUAAGAAACACCUGGCUAUCAGAUAGGUGAGCAAACAUGGCCAUUGCUCUGGUUUGGGGUGGCCUGUGAUGUUUUACAUAGCGAUUGGGAUGAGCACAGAGGGCCUAUAGUCAUGCCAAAGCCUCAGAAUUCUUGAGGGGGUAGCAGUUCUCAGAAGGAAAAUUGCUUUUCUCAAGGACCUGCAAGUUUUUCCUGCAGAUUCCUCAGGAAUGGUUGGGGUUCCCAGUAACUCCUUUGCCUCUGGAACUCUGGAUAAGCACAUUAGUUUCAUUUUACUCCAGCAUUCUCUGUGUACCAGGGAAUUCCAUCUUAGCUCCUUAGAGUGUAUUUUCAGUAAAAAUCCUCCGUAUUGGUGCUGGAGAUUGCAGCUCAGGUCACCCUUUGACAGAACAGGGAGAGGCAAGCUCAUAGAUGACUCAGUUCAGAAUGGAUGGGGGCAGCUUCCAGUGGUAUUAGGACCAAUGACUAGGACCGGGCCCAUCCAUUGAUUAGCUGGAUAAAAGAAUAAUGAUGUAAAUCAUAAUCUAGGUACAUAAAUAUAUCCCUUUGUUGCCAUACCACCUGAAAUCGUUGUCUAAGAUAAUGAAAUUUGGAAGAUAUGUUUAGGAUGGCCUGAUUUAAAAUAGAAGACAUGUUGCAUAUGCGAAAUAUGAAUAUCUUGGACAGAGAAAACAAACAGUGGUUUCAAUUAUGAGCCCCAAAAGCAACAUCACAAGGUAAGUGAUCUAAUUUGCAGGGGUCCGUUUUGGUUCAGGCAACUUGUUAUGUGCAGGUCUCUGAAGAGCGUGAUCCAAAGUAAAAGCCAAGCUUUAUUUAACAACAGUAACAAUAAUAUCAAGAACAAUAGUAAUGUCUGUCAUCAUUGAAUAAAUGCUUUCCAUAGGCCAGAACAAUCACAGUCCCUCCUUACGAGUCUUUGUUUUUCUGUGCCACUUGUUUCUUCAUCAACCAUGUCACCUUUGAUAUCACCUUUCUUUCCCUCUUCUCCCUAGGCUGGCACCAACUACAAGAAUGCCAUCAGCCAGGGCCAAUGAGCCUUCCUGUUGGAGGAGGAUGAGUGCUCCAGGGACAUCUACUUGCUCAAAGGCAGCAUUCAUCCCGAAGUAUGCGUAGGAGCUGCCCCUGGAAGCAGAUGAGGCCUUGCGUUAUGUGCUGCCAGCCAUCCUGAAUCCUUGGUACCAGCUCUCUGAUUUCCUUGGUAGAUGGACACAAAUUUAAAAGCAAUGUGGAACUACUGGUUUACUACAGUGAGGUACAAACUCCCAGUGUAUCUGUGGAGAUGGGACGACCUAUAAUGAACACAGGUAGAAUAAUUCUGCUUGAUGUCAAAAUCCAUGCUUGGAGGGAAUGGCUGAAGUAGAAUGGAGGCUAGAGCCACUUAAUUUAAGGGAGACAAGAAGCUUUGCAUUAGGAUAGGUUAUCUACCUGGGUACUUAAUAUCUCAAGAUGAUGGCAGUCCUUGCAAUGGAGUGGAAGCUUUGAUCUAGUUCUUGAUACUUCAGUGAAUGAUGGAAAAUGGCAAAGAGGUUGGAGGUCGACCACAGAUAGGAUAUGAGAAGGACUAGACAAACACCAAGCUUUGGUGAUAGAACAAAGAAGAAAUGCAUGUCUCUCAGAGACCUCUCCAGAGAUGGAAAGGGCUCAUUCUUCCAUCAACAGGACCAACUUGAAAACUCACCAUACAGAGGUAAUCUGUUUGAAAAGUGUCAGGCAGAGGGUGAAAUUUGUCCACUUCCCAUAUUUGGCAGUAUCAGCCCAGCUCUACAAGUAGGACCCUGAAACCCACCAGAGGUUAGUCUGAGCUGACUUCUCUUCAAAAGGCAGAUGGUUCCUGGGAUCUGAACGAAGGUCUGGCCAUGGUCCUACAUAUGAGUUUGGAAGAGAUACUGACUGCACAUCUUACCAAGGCUCUGUCAUGCAUGUGGUUAUGAAAGCUGCAACUGCUUUUCUGAAAUCAUCUGAGAAUCAUGCCAUCUUUGCCCUCUGAGGAUACCAUCCAGAAAAACAAGUGCAUCUUCUAUGCUAUUGACCUUUCCUUUAGCCUUUCUUCUGCUGUAAUGUGUUGUAUUUUAUAUCUAUCCUGUCUGUUUCUUGUCAUAAAAGUAAAGGCUGCCCGCCCACCUUGCCUCUGUGUUCCAGGUUCCCUUUGGAUAUGAUUUUCCUUUCCCCGCAUGUAUCCUCAGUCAAGUGUCAGUAGUCCCAGAACCUGUUCCCUUCCUUGGAGUUCAAAAGAUUCUUAGGCAGUAAUGUUCCUCCUAGGUUUUCUAGAGUGCCACCAUGAAAAACAAGUGACAUGGAUUCCAGAUUAAAGGUUGCCACAUUGAUGUUAGAGUAUGUCUGAAUUAUAGAAUUCUCUGCAUUAUUUUUGUCUAUUCACUUUUGAUUUUAUAUACUUAUCAGGACUAGAGUGGUGAGCGAUACAAUUUUCUAUUCUUAGAUAGGAGGAAAGGUUGGAGAGGAGGUUGAAAGCUGACAUUGGGAUUAAUAUAAACCUCCAGAUGACAAAGACAGAGUCUCAAGGGAUCCACUGUGAGCGUUGGCACUGUUGGAGACCUUCUCGAUUGAUUCUGCUUGGGUUUAGCUACCCCAUACUGCAUGCCUUCUCUCUCACUGCCUAAGGGACUUGGAUUGAGUCAUAACUGUUGAAGUCAGACCUUUCUCCUUCAUCAGGAAACAUCUUAGUAAAAGGGUGUUGAUGGAAUCCUUAGUCCUAGAUGCCUCUAAUUCAGUCUGUGGUCCAGUAUAAUAAAGGUAAAAGUAGUUAUAAAGGCAGCUUUGCCUGAGACCUUAACCUGGAUCACUCACUCCAUGAAAAAAGAAGGAGCACCCUUUGAUUGUUUCUAACCCUCAUGUCCCACAUACUCUAUCCUAGUGGAAAUGACCCUAUUUGAUGUGUUGUCCUUUAAAAUACUGUUGUAUCAAUUUUACAAUGACUGUCUCUACUCUGCACUUUGUUGUGUCAAUCUUAUAGAUUUAUUCAUCGAACCUGCAUUGGUUUUAUUAUCUCUUAUUUCCCUCCCAACUUUUCUGAUGCCUCCACUCUUCAUACUGUGUCCUGUCCCCAUAUCUUCUAUUGUAGGCUGAUUUCCUGUCUUAUAUGAAGCAAGUAAAGGGCACUGGGCAGAAAACUUUUAGAAUCCUGACCAAAUAGUUAAGUGAUAAUAAAUAAACAAUUUAACCUCUUAAGAGCUUAGUAUUCCCAUCUGUAAAACUAGAUGAUUAAAUUAGAACUCUGUUAUCACUUUUGCCUUGAAUACUCAAGAAUUCUGAGCAGGACCUCAAUAUCUGUUCAAUAAGGUGGAAGAUGACCUUAACCUGAGUUCCAUUAAACUGACAAGUGAACUGGCAUUAGGAAGUAAACUGGCAUUUUCCUGAGUUGUAUAGUGGAGACUGAUCUCCCAGGACUUUCUUUCAAGUUUGUUCAUGGCUGAGUGUGACCUGUGGUGGGCCUAGGCAUCAUCUGGAAGCUUACUACCAAUGCAGGCUUUUAGGCAACCACAAAAUCUCCUGUAUCAAGGUCUUCUUUUUAACAAAGGUCUCCAGAUAAUUCAUAUGCGCAUUAAAGUUUGAUAAGUUAGGGUUUAGCCUUUUUAUGAAAGAGGCUGGUAUUCAAGUCUACUAUAUAGAUGUAAUGACAGAAACAGCUUUCUAAGGACCAUGAAAUGUGUAGAUCUACCCUCUGACCAGAAAAAAGAUGGCCCUUUACAUUUAUUAUACAGAGCAGCAUAUAUUAUUCACUUAUGUUCACUUCCCCUUUUCUCACCCUUCAACUUCCAGACUGGGCUAGGGCUUAGGGACUUCUAAAGCAAAAAACAAAACAACAACAGUAGCAACAACAACAAAAACAGUCUUUGUCUUCUUUAUAAUGCAGAAUCAACUACAGUUUUUUUUUUUUUCAAUUACAGUUGACAUUCAAUAUUAUUUUAUAUUAGUUUUAGAUGUACAGGGUAGUGGUUAGACAUUUAUAUAAUUUAUGAUGUGAUUCCCCCCGAUAAGUCUUAUAUCCACCUAGCACCAUACCAUAUGGUUUCACUUAUGUGGAAUUUAAAGAAUAAAAUAAACAAACAAAACAGAAACAGAGUCCUAGAUACAGAGAUCAACUACAAUUUUAAAGUACUAUGAUUUUAUUUUUCUGUUUGAGCUCUCAUGCUAUGAAUGUACUACUGUAAAUUCCUCAAACCUAAACAAGUCAUAAUCAAACAUGUUUAUUAAAGCCCACUUUCAGGGCUGGUGCUUUAUGUUUUGAGAACAUGUAAAGCACCCCCUAUUUUCAGGAACUGAUGGUCUGGGCAAGGAGCCCAGGAGAGAAGAUGCUCUCAUGUCCCAUUGGUUGUCCUCACCCUACAAUGGUUUCCUGGCUCCUGCAGAGCUGGCCAUAAAAAGAAUGGAAGAUCGCAUUGCUUCAGGAUUCUCCCAUUCAGACUGAUCCCAGUGCCUCCAAGUUCAGGGUACCAUGUUAUACGUAGACUUAUGAAUGAAACCCAUUGCCUGUUGUCCCUAAUUCCAACAUAAUCUUACUAUGUAUCAAUUAACAUUUGCUGUUCCUCUGCCAACUAUCAGCCUUCGGUUCCUUAAAAACAGUCCAUCUGCUUCAAGAAUCAGAUUAUCCAGAAGAAAACUAAGAAAAACAUCAUGCAAUGAGCUAACAUCAUGUAUUAUGUUUCUUCUUUCACUUCUAUCAGUGCAUACACAUUUUUUGUUUGUUUGUUUGUUUCAGGUGUAUCGAUUGGUGUUUGAUAGGGACUGCAUUUAACCUAUAGAUUGCUUUGGGUAGUAUGGACAUUUAAAUUCUUCCUAUUCAUGAGAGGUGCAUAAACAUUUAAGAUUAUUAUAUCUUCUUGGAGAAUUGAUCCUUUUAUUAUUAUGUAGUACUUACCUUUACCCUGCUGAUUUUCCUUAUUCUGAAAUCUACUUUGUCUAAAAUGAAUACAGCCACUCCAGCUUUGUUCUAUUUUGUGUUAGCAUGAUAUAUAUUUUUCCACUCCUUUACUUUUAACCUAAUAAAGUAAUUAUUAAUAUGAUCAAGUUGAUAUGUAUCAUGUUUAACUAUUUUCUAUUUGCUGCAUUUAAAAGACUAAUGUUGCCUCCUCUGUUUUAUUUCAGCAUUUUAUGUGAUUUAAUUUUAUCUAUGUUGUUAAUAUAUCCAUUAUAUGUAUUAAUUUUUUAGUUGUUGCCCUAGAGCUUAUAACGUAUACUUAAAAAUAAUCCUAAGUCUAUCUUCCAAUAACACUGUACAACUGUAUGUGUAAUGCAGAACACUUAUAACAGAAUUUUUCUAAUUUUUCCUUGUCAUCUAUUGUGGCAUCACUGCCAUUCAUUUCUCUUAUCCAUGUAUUAUGAUUACCCACUGCUUUGUCAUUAUUAUUACUUUAAAAAGUUAUCUUUUAGAUUAAUAAGAAAAAGAAAAUAUUUCACGUUUGUAUUAACUAUUGCAUAAAAUAAUUUUAAACUCACAGAUUCAUUAUAAGUAUCUAUUAAUAAAUAGACAUUACAUUCAAGAGA
Molecule: long non-coding RNA, 6541 nt
Organism: Pteropus alecto (black flying fox)
Lineage: Eukaryota; Metazoa; Chordata; Mammalia; Chiroptera; Pteropodidae
Exons: 7
Source: RefSeq, a predicted model, not a curated record